CCCUGCCUGGCUCAAUUGGUAGAGCAUGUGACUCUUGAUCUCAGGGUCAUGAAUUCAAGCCCCAUGUUGGGCA
Molecule: transfer RNA, 73 nt
Filed under: Mustela putorius furo (domestic ferret)
Lineage: Eukaryota; Metazoa; Chordata; Mammalia; Carnivora; Mustelidae
Rfam family: tRNA
About the family: Transfer RNA (tRNA) molecules are approximately 80 nucleotides in length.
Source: Rfam by way of RNAcentral